This 87-nucleotide microRNA precursor is filed under the name Otolemur garnettii (small-eared galago). RNAcentral's name for it is "miRNA (ENSOGAG00000028121.1)". Lineage: Eukaryota; Metazoa; Chordata; Mammalia; Primates; Galagidae. The record is from RNAcentral.
UUUGGGAAGUUGAGGUAGGAGGAUUGCUUGAGCCCAGGAGUUUGAUGCCAAUCUGGGCAACAAAGUGAUACCUCAUCUCUUCAAAGA